GCAGCCGCCGCGGUAAUACGAAGGGGGCUAGCGUUGUUCGGAUUUACUGGGCGUAAAGCGCACGUAGGCGGACUUUUAAGUCAGGGGUGAAAUCCCGGGGCUCAACCCCGGAACUGCCUUUGAUACUGGAAGUCUUGAGUAUGGUAGAGGUGAGUGGAAUUCCGAGUGUAGAGGUGAAAUUCGUAGAUAUUCGGAGGAACACCAGUGGCGAAGGCGGCUCACUGGACCAUUACUGACGCUGAGGUGCGAAAGCGUGGGGAGCAAACAGGAUUAGAGACCCGCGUAGUCCCUGUCUCUUAUAC
This 302-nucleotide ribosomal RNA is filed under the name uncultured bacterium. Its description in RNAcentral is "partial 16S ribosomal RNA". It matches the Rfam family "Bacterial small subunit ribosomal RNA", at positions 508 to 807 of the family's 1533-position model. The record is from RNAcentral.